GGAGCACCUGCCACUGCCCCGGGUUCGCUUCCCUCCUCCUACCCUGCGCGCUCUUUCCAGUGAAUCUCCCUCUGUCUUCCGCUCUCCCUGGCUGCUCUUCAAGGGCGCUGUCUAUGAGAAUCCAUACAUGCCCUUGUCCAUGGAAAUAAGAGGAUCUCAGACCUCAGGGGAGGGGCGAGGAAGGCUGAGGAAACUGUAGCCAAAGCCCUGCUCUUCAUGCUGCUCCUGCCAUUUAGGGGUCACCACAAUUUGAUUACCUCUGAUCUGGGAAGCUCACUACCUACCAUGCAGCUCUUUAGAUCCAUCUCUCUCUGUCCUGCCUGCUCACCAUAGCCUGGAGUCCUCAUCCUUAACAGCCCUGAUUUUCUAGCAGAAGACCCGGCGUCUAUCCGGGCCCAGCCUCCUCCCUUAGACCCAGGAAGGCAGUAUCACUUACCCAGGGGUGACAGAGGUGGCAGCUGUGGUGCUCAUGGUGCCCUUCGUGGGAGCUCUUGACCACCUGGAGUCUCCGGAGACAGCAGAGAGGUCUUGCUCAGCUGCCCAGGAUGGUCUUGGACUUGGGAUUCUCCUGCCUCAGCCUCCCAGAGUAUUGGGAUUACAGAUGGGGAAACUGAGGCACGCUCAGGCUGAGUGAUAGGCCUGGUGUCGUGGGGACGUGGUUGAAGCCAUGCUAUAAUAUGCUGUAGACCUGAGUACUUCCAUGCGACCCGAGUCUCACUAGGGUGCUGAGUCAGUCGACCAGGAUGCGUCCAACUUUCGGUCCUCCUGCCUCAGACUCCCAGAGUGCCACGAGGCCCGCCCGGCUGUGAGGUUCACUUUGUCGCCCUGCCCUUUUUUGGCUGUGUGACCAUGGGCAAGUCACUUAGCCUCCCUGGGCUGCAGGACCCCAACUGUCCAGGGAGGACAGCAAGGCCGGGAGGGUAGCACAGGACACUGCAAAGGAGACAGGUCGGGGUGAGUGGCGGCAGGGACCUGGGCUUCUCCCUGGUGCAGUGAUGGGCACAGGGGUCACUGCUGGGGCCGGAGCUGCCAGGUCGGCACUGAGCCUUCGAGAAGGGGCGCUGAGCCCGCAGGGCCAGCCUGACAGGCAGGUGCCGGGAGGAGGCAUGUCCGAGGGGGUGACACGGGAGGGACCACAGCUCCUGCGGCUCAGCCCCGGCCAGCUCUGUCACUCUGGGUCUCUGUCACCUCAGGCCAAUAAUGGUUUCUGAGCUCUGUCCUGUCUAGAUCAGGGUUUGAGGGAGGAUGGGAGCCCCGAGGCCUCAGUCCAGGCACAGGAACACAAAGGCUGCAGCGGGGAGGUGCAUAGCCAGGGUCACUGCGAGGCUGGGCUGUGACACAGAGGCCUGACACACAGGCUCCGGUCUGGACGGGGAAAGGAGUGACUCAGAGGCAUAGGGUCUGAGGGGGAGGCCGGGCCCGGGCCCUCUCCUGGGGUCCCACAGGAGGCUCCACAGGCUGAGCCCACGCACACAGCUCGCCUGCCUGGAG
RNAcentral lists this long non-coding RNA (1491 nucleotides) under Heterocephalus glaber (naked mole-rat). RNAcentral describes it as "lncRNA (ENSHGLG00000041286.1)". Lineage: Eukaryota; Metazoa; Chordata; Mammalia; Rodentia; Bathyergidae. The record is from RNAcentral.